Molecule: ribosomal RNA, 301 nt
Filed under: uncultured bacterium
Lineage: Bacteria
Description: partial 16S ribosomal RNA
Rfam family: Bacterial small subunit ribosomal RNA
Source: RNAcentral
CAGUAGCCGCGGUAAUACGGAGGGUGCGAGCGUUAAUCGGAUUUACUGGGCGUAAAGCGUGCGUAGGCGGCUAAUUGAGUCGGAUGUGAAAUCCCCGAGCUUAACUUGGGAAUUGCAUUCGAUACUGGUUAGCUAGAGUGUGGGAGAGGAUGGUAGAAUUCCAGGUGUAGCGGUGAAAUGCGUAGAGAUUUGGAGGAAUACCGAUGGCGAAGGCAGCCAUCUGGCCUAACACUGACGCUGAGGUACGAAAGCAUGGGGAGCAAACAGGAUUAGAUACCCCGGUAGUCCCUGUCUCUUAUAC